RNAcentral lists this transfer RNA (66 nucleotides) under Camelus ferus (Wild Bactrian camel). It matches the Rfam family "tRNA". From Rfam's summary of the family: Transfer RNA (tRNA) molecules are approximately 80 nucleotides in length. Their secondary structure includes four short double-helical elements and three loops (D, anti-codon, and T loops). The record is from Rfam by way of RNAcentral. Lineage: Eukaryota; Metazoa; Chordata; Mammalia; Artiodactyla; Camelidae.
AAAGGUGUAGCUCAGUGGUAGAGCUUAGCAUGCACAGGGUCCUGGGUUCAAUUCCCGGUACCUGUA